AUGAACGCUGGCGGCGUGCUUAACACCUGCAAGUCGAACGGAAAGGCCCAAGCUUGCUUGGGUACUCGAGUGGCGAACGGGUGAGUAACACGUGGGUGAUCUGCCCUGCACUUCGGGAUAAGCCUGGGAAACUGGGUCUAAUACCGGAUAGGACCACUUCUUGGAUGUUGUGGUGGAAAGUUUUUCGGUGUGGGAUGAGCUCGCGGCCUAUCAGCUUGUUGGUGGGGUAAUGGCCUACCAAGGCGUCGACGGGUAGCCGGCCUGAGAGGGUGUACGGCCACAUUGGGACUGAGAUACGGCCCAGACUCCUACGGGAGGCAGCAGAGGGGAAUAUUGCACAAUGGGCGCAAGCCUGAUGCAGCGACGCCGCGGGGGGGAUGACGGCCUUCGGGUUGUAAACUCCUUUCGCUAGGGACGAAGCUUAUUUUGUGACGGUACCUGGAGAAGAAGCACCGGCUAACUACGUG
RNAcentral lists this ribosomal RNA (467 nucleotides) under uncultured bacterium. RNAcentral describes it as "partial 16S ribosomal RNA". It matches the Rfam family "Bacterial small subunit ribosomal RNA", at positions 29 to 507 of the family's 1533-position model. The record is from RNAcentral.